Molecule: ribosomal RNA, 440 nt
Filed under: uncultured bacterium
Lineage: Bacteria
Description: partial 16S ribosomal RNA
Rfam family: Bacterial small subunit ribosomal RNA
Source: RNAcentral
CCUACGGGAGGCAGCAGUGGGGAAUAUUGCACAAUGGGGGAAACCCUGAUGCAGCGACGCCGCGUGAGGGAAGAAGUAUUUCGGUAUGGAAAGCUCUAUCAGCAGGGAAGAAAAUUACGGUACCUGACUAGGAAGCCCUGGCUAACUACGUGCCAGAAGCCGCGGUAAUACGUAGGGGGCAAGCGUUAUCCGGAUUUACUGGGUGUAAAGGGAGCGUAGACGGCAGAGCAAGUCUGAAGUGAAAGCCCGAGGCCCAACUGCGGGAGUGCUUUGGAAACUGCCCGGCUAGAGUGCUGGAGAGGUAAGCGGAAUGCCUAGUGUAGCGGUGAAAUGCGUAGAUAUUAGGAGGAACACCAGUGGCGAAGGCGGCUUACUGGACAGUAACUGACGUUGAGGCUCGAAAGCGUGGGGAGCAAACAGGAUUAGAUACCCUUGUAGUC